UGUUCUUAUUAGCUGGCGGGAAUUAAAACAAAAUACUAUCUAAACACUAACCAAAAUCAAAAGAAUUCUUUUACUUCUUCUAAAGUAGUUUUACUCAUCAAUAUCAUUGUAUUUUUUCGGUUCCUCACCAUUGGAAUUGUAGCCCCUGCAUUGUCUUAUAGGGUUGCCAUACUUCACAUCUUGCCUCCGACUCCGCCUACAAGAAUUAAAUGAGGAUAUGAAUUCAAAGAAAUCUCAUAACUUAUGAUGAGUUCAAGACCUUCUGGGAAGUUCAGAAUUACGCCACUUUCAAGUCACUUUCAUCAGAGGAGGAUGACGAAUAGCGAGAGCAGGACUUUCCAUCCCAGGCACAGUACGGGUCUCUGGCCAAGCAGCAGUCAGCACACGCCUCUCCGUACACAUCACACCUGUGCAGAGCCAGAUGAGUGACACCCACCGCUGAACUCACAUACAGCUGUUGCUACACACACACAGAAAGACAGGAAAAUUGUUAAUGAGUUACUCUCAUUCAAAAUACAUGAUGUAGUGAUUCCUAGAAUCCCAGAAUGACGGAUAUUCCUCAUUUGUAACUCACUUUGAAUAAAGGAUCUGCUACUUUUACUAUUAA
Molecule: long non-coding RNA, 607 nt
Organism: Megalobrama amblycephala (Wuchang bream)
Lineage: Eukaryota; Metazoa; Chordata; Actinopteri; Cypriniformes; Xenocyprididae
Exons: 2
Source: RefSeq, a predicted model, not a curated record